This 497-nucleotide ribosomal RNA is filed under the name uncultured bacterium. RNAcentral describes it as "partial 16S ribosomal RNA". It matches the Rfam family "Bacterial small subunit ribosomal RNA", at positions 28 to 507 of the family's 1533-position model. The record is from RNAcentral.
GACGAACGCUGGCGGCGUGCCUAAUACAUGCAAGUAGAACGCUGUUGAGAGGAGCUUGCCCUUCUUGACUGAGUUACGAACGGGUGAGUAACGCGUAGGUACCCUGCCUUAUACUGGGGGAUAACUAGUGGAAACGCUAGCUAAUACCGCAUAACACCGCAUAACUCCAUUUAUUUAUUUGAAAGUGGAUAUUGCUCCCCUAUAAGAUGCACCUGCGUUGUAUUAGCUAGUAGGUGCGGUAAUGGCUCACCUAGGCGACGAUACAUAGCCGACCUUAGAGGGUGAUCGGCCACACUGGGACUGAGACACGGCCCAGACUCCUACGGGAGGCAGCAGUAGGGAAUCUUCGGCAAUGGGGGCAAGCCUGACCGAGCAACGCCGCGUGAGUGAAGAAGGUUUUCGGAUCGUAAAGCUCUGUUGUUAGUCAAGAACGAGGGUGAGAGUGGAAAGUUCACACUGUGACGGUAGCUUACCAGAAAGCGACGGCUAACUACGUG